This 850-nucleotide ribosomal RNA is filed under the name uncultured archaeon. Its description in RNAcentral is "bacterial SSU rRNA". It matches the Rfam family "Archaeal small subunit ribosomal RNA", at positions 18 to 873 of the family's 1478-position model. The record is from RNAcentral.
CGGAGGCUACCGCUAUUGGAGUUCGAUUAAGCCAUGCGAGUCGAGAGUCCUCGGGACUCGGCGUACCGCUCAGUAACACGUGGGUAACCUGCCCUAUGCUGGGGAAUAACCUCGGGAAACUGAGAAUAAUGCCCCAUAGCCCACUACGCCUGGAACGGUGAGUGGGUCAAAGCCCCGGCGGCAUAGGAUGGGCCUGCGCCGUAUCAGGUUGUAGGGGGUGUAAAGUACCCUCUAGCCAUCAACGCGUACGGGUGUUGGGAGACAUUGCCCGGAGAUGGAUUCUGAGACACGAAUCCAGACCCUACGGGGUGCAGCAGGCGCGAAAACUUGGCAAUGCGAGCAAUCGUGACCAGGGAACUCCAAGUGCGUAGGGUAAGACCUACGCUUUUCUUGACUCUUCAAAGGUCUUGGAAUAAGGGGUGGGUAAGGACGGUGCCAGCCGCCGCGGUAAUACCGGCGCCUCAAGUGGUAGUCGCUUUUAUUGGGCCUAAAACGUCCGUAGCCGGUCUGGUGCAUUCGUGGGUAAAUCAACCCGCUCAACGGGUUGAAUUCUGCGAGCACGGCCAGACUUGGGACCGGGAGAGGUGUGGGGUACUCUCAGGGUAGGGGUAAAAUCCUGUCAUCCUGAGAGGACCACCUGUUGCGAAGGCACCACACUAGAACGGAUCCGACGGUCAGGGACGAAACCUAGGGGCACGAACCGGAUUAGAUACCCGGGUAGUCCUAGGUGUAAACGCUGUGGACUUGAUGUUGGGGGCGCUCCGAGCGCUCUCAGUGUCGAAGCGAAGGUGAUAAGUCCACUGCCUGGGGAGUACGGUCGCAAGGCUGAAACUUAAAGGAAUUGGCGGGG